UUUGUGCAUGGAGGAAGGUACGUUGGGAAAUUAAUGAAUAAACAAAACUGUAUGUCAUAUUAAUAAUAUUUCUAAUAUUUUUGUUGUAUCUGUAGGUACAAGGAGUGGAAGAACGAGUUGCGGACCCAUUGGACUACGCACGGGAACGCACGUUCUGCUACCCCUGUUGAGUUCCAGUACAGAGAGUACGAGUGGCGUUGGCUUCUGACAUCAGAAUUCAACAACCCUCGUAAACAGGUAUUUAAAUAAAUUAAUUAGUUAAUUUAUCAUUAAGUACGUGCGUUUUAAAAUAUUUUACUAAUAGUUUACUUUUUUCUUUGAAGGCGGUUUCCCGGGUGAACGCUCAGAACCGGCAACGCAACACAAGGAACUAUCAUGCCGGUUCUAGACCGUUCGCUGUCUUCAUGGACGAGGCGGCCAGGGAACAUCCAGAGGUCAACCAGUACGUCUAUACGUACGAGAGGGCAUAUCUUGACUCCCAGGAGGAUAUAGUAAGUACUAUUUCCUUUUUACGGAAUUUUUAAUUUUACUUAUAUAUAUGUCAAAAUGUUAAUUAAUAAUUUUUUCCUAUCCAAUUAGGCAAAGGUGAGGGAGGCUAGUGACGAGGUGAUGAGUGCUAUAGUGAGGGAGACAUGGCCGGACACGCAGGAGGAAGAGAUGUCCGAAGCCAUUUCCCGGAUCGACACUUCAGAUCCGAGGGUUGGGGCGAGGAUCAUGGGCACAGCCUUUCCACCGCGAGAAAACAACUUCUACUGCCGGGGUCUAGGAAAGAAGGGCCAGGGGGUCCUGAAGACCCCUCCAGGAUUUCAACGAAAGGCGGGCUCGACCAACAGCAGGACGGCUCAGCUAGAGUCGGAAGUUGAGAGACUACGGGAACAGCAAGCCGCUCAGGUUGCCGCUCAUGCUGCUCAGGCUGCCGCUCAUGCUGCUCAGGCUGCCGCUCAGGCUGACGCUCAGGCUGCUCAGGCUGCCGCUCAUGCCGCCCAGAUCGCCGAAUAUAGAGCCUUUACUAGAG
Molecule: long non-coding RNA, 1015 nt
Filed under: Fragaria vesca (wild strawberry)
Lineage: Eukaryota; Viridiplantae; Streptophyta; Magnoliopsida; Rosales; Rosaceae
Description: long non-coding RNA (FVES_LNC004756)
Source: RNAcentral